This 1283-nucleotide long non-coding RNA is filed under the name Homo sapiens (human). Its description in RNAcentral is "LHRI_LNC1633.3". The record is from RNAcentral. Lineage: Eukaryota; Metazoa; Chordata; Mammalia; Primates; Hominidae.
GAGGCAGUCUGAGUCAUCACCUGGUUUGUUUGACAUACACUUCCUUCCAUAAAUUGGGAAUGGCAAGCGGCACAGUGUUCUGGGCUUGCCUGGGAGAAGGAGCUGUUGCAGUCUUGCACGAUCAAAAUAGGGCCUUUAGGUUUGAAGGAUGAGGUUGAGCCCAUAUUUUGACUCCAAAUGUCGGGGGAGGGGAGAAGAAGUCGACAGAUCCAAACAAGGAACAUUUGAAUGAAAUGCAGAUAACUCUUUAGAAAACUUUUGUAGGAAAAGCGCCUCGUGUGAUCUGGAACAAAGACGUUUUAUAAUCAGAUUUAUCAAGCUGCGAAGAGGGAGUUUUAGUGAACGGAAGCAGCAGCAUUCUGUCACCAGGAAAUACUCCUUUAUCCAGAAUUGGAGGUAUAAACCAGUGGAGUUUAUCAUUGAAUAGAGUGCAGAGAAAGGACCGCAAGAAAGCUGAUCACCUCAGCAAUGAAUGAUUUCAAUACGAUUUCACCCAAAUGGUCUCACACACCAGCCUAGUAAACCAGAGAUAAGGUGUAAUGUCAUCCUUCCUUCCUUCUCCCUGCCUCAACUGUCAAAGAUUGACAACUUACAUGUUGUUUACUUUUUGGCUUCUAUUUCUGUUCAUAAUUAUUAUCAGAAGGCAUAGCACCCACAAGCCUAAUCAUACUGCCUUACAACCUUAUUCCUCUUCAUUUUGUCUUCUCACUUACCUGCAGAAACCCAGUUUAUUUUUGUUCUCCCUUUACCACACCAGCCUUGUAACUGUUAUGAAUGACCCUCAAUCUCACUGGAAUCUGAAUCACUCAGGAAUUCAAGCAAACUGGAUGUUUUAACCACUGUUCAGCUUUCUUAUGGAAUGACAGAGAACUUGUAAAGAUAAAACACCAGUUUGCAGGAAGAAAGGAAGAGAAUGGAAAUUGCUUCUGGAAAAUACUAGUUUUACAAUAUGUUUUGUUUGUCUGCUCUCUUAAAUAAACUUAAUCCUAUAAACAUUUUUUAAGAACUAGCCAUUAAGACUGUUAAGUUCUCAAUUAUAAAGGAAUAAAAUGUUUUAAGGAGGAUUUAUUUGCCCUUGCUUAUAUGAACUGCAUAUUUUUAGUAGGAAAUCAUGUAAUUUAAAUUAGUAUUGGUUAACAGAUUUAACGUAGAAAAUGGACAUAUAAAGAAUACAAGGAUAAAUGUCUACAUGUAAUAAUGGAUGGUAGUGAUAUAAUGCAUUUUUGUCAUCCCAUGCUGAAUUCAGUAAAAAUAAAGCUAAUGACUUGGAGCUUUUAAAAGAU